This is an RNA transcript of Juglans regia (Persian walnut), 1158 nucleotides long. RefSeq lists it as uncharacterized. The transcript is spliced from 5 exons. NCBI's taxonomy places the organism in Eukaryota, Viridiplantae, Streptophyta, Magnoliopsida, Fagales, Juglandaceae. The record is from RefSeq and is a predicted model, not a curated record.
UAUAGAGUUAGGAGGAAGAAAAGAAGAAAAAAAAAAAAGAACCUUACUUGCAAGGUUUUUGAGCAAAUGGGUUCUCUGAUGGCAGGAUGGGACUCUCGAGUCCAAGAUUCAAAGUCAGUGGCAUACAAAAGGAAUCGGUCAUCUACUAGAGGAGAGAUUGAUGCUUACUGGAGAGCAAAGAAGAAAGCUGAGGAAGAACAUCUCAGAGACAUUUGUAUUCCCUUAUCUGAUAGCAUUCAGGAAAUCAAGUUUGAGGAAUCUGGGAAAAAGUUGGAGAGGUCGAAAUCCGUGCCUGAGGCCAACACAAAACAGCAGGGUUUCAUGGACAUGGAAACUGAAAAAAGCCUGGAAAAACUGAUUAUGAAAAAGGCGUGGUGGACUAGAAGCAACUGGGCAUUUCUGAACGAGCCACCAGCUUCUGAGGCUGCUUCUAACAGUUACACUUCGCAGUUCCACAUUGCUAGCUCCUCGAAAUCAAACGCCGGUGAUGGGGAUUAGCAGCACCUAAUUUUUCUCAACUCCAAGUUAGAUUAUUGUCCAUAUAUAAAUGCGUUUGUGUAUCCCUGACUUGUUGCAGUUCGAUCAUAUUCUGCUAAAGCUUUUUGAAGAGAGAUGUUGCUUUGAAAAUGGAUGGAAGUGUGUAUAUAUGAAAGGGGUCACUAUUCUUCCAUGUCGGAGUCCAUGACACUCUCCAACACCUGCUGCAUUUCCAAUGACAGCUACACCACCAUGUCGUUCGCUUGAACACAAUCUCAUCGAACAGCUGCAAUGUCCUUCUCGAGCCUGAGCUGGUUGGCAUCCAAUUUUGCAGUAAUGGCGUCUAUCUUCUGAGAGAGUAAGGUCAGUUGCUCCAGAACUUGAGAUGUGGGCAUUGUCGGCUCGGGAGGAGAGGAGGUGGACUCUGUAGUGUGUGGCCUUUUCUUGGAUAGCUGGGCUUCAGAUUUAACCACUGUAAAUGUUGAAAUAGAACCUGCCAGCUUUAUGGUUGACUUAUUCUCCUGAAGUGGGACGUUAGCCUUGAGAGCCAAUUUGGUUAUCAAACCACCAAAUUUUAAAUUUAGCUCCUUGUCAACAUGGGAACGGUGUAUUAUGUCUACAACAUGUCUUGGAAAAUCAAUAGAAACACCAGUAGCCUAGUCAUAAAAUAGGCACGCUCUA